GACGAACGCUGGCGGCGUGCUUAACACAUGCAAGUCGAGCGGAAAGGCCACUUCGGUGGUACUCGAGCGGCGAACGGGUGAGUAACACGUGAGUAAUCUGCCCCUGGCUUUGGGAUAGCCACCGGAAACGGUGAUUAAUACCGGAUAUGACACAUUCUCGCAUGAGGUUGUGUGGAAAGUUUUUCGGCCAGGGAUGUGCUCGGGGCCUAUCAGCCUGAUUGUGGGGUUAGGGCUCUCCAUGGCCUCCACGGGUAGCCGACCUGGGAGGGUGACCGGUCACACUGGGACUGAGACACGGCCCAGACUCCAACGGGGGGCAGCAGUGGGAAAAAUGGGCCAGUGGGCGGAAGCCUGAUACAGAAACGCCGGGUGGGGAAUGACGGCCUUCGGGUUGAAAACCUCUUUAGGUGCCGACGAAGCGGAAGUGACGGUAGCUACAGAAGAAGCACCGGCUAACUACGUG
RNAcentral lists this ribosomal RNA (463 nucleotides) under uncultured bacterium. RNAcentral's name for it is "partial 16S ribosomal RNA". It matches the Rfam family "Bacterial small subunit ribosomal RNA", at positions 28 to 507 of the family's 1533-position model. The record is from RNAcentral.